AUUGAACGCUGGCGGCAGGCCUAACACAUGCAAGUCGAACGAGUGGCGGACGGGUGAGUAAUGUCUGGGAAACUGCCCGAUGGAGGGGGAUAACUACUGGAAACGGUAGCUAAUACCGCAUACCAUCGGAUGUGCCCAGAGGGGAUUAGCUAGCGGGUGGGGUAACGGCGCACCUAGGCGACGAUCCCUAGCUGGUCUGAGAGGAUGACCGGCCAAACGGGAACGGAGACACGGUCCAGACUCCUACGGGAGGCAGCAGUGGGGAAUAUUGCACAAUGGGCGCAAGCCUGAUGCAGCCAUGCCGCGUGAAUGAAGAAGGCCUUCGGGUUGUAAAGUACUUUCAUCGGGGAGGCGUUACUCGCAGAAGAAGCACCGGCUAACUCCGUGCCAGCAGCCGCGGUAAUUC
Molecule: ribosomal RNA, 406 nt
Filed under: uncultured bacterium
Lineage: Bacteria
Description: partial 16S ribosomal RNA
Rfam family: Bacterial small subunit ribosomal RNA
Source: RNAcentral